GCUUAGCUGUCUCCUCUUCCAAGUCAAUGAAAUUGAUCUGCCCGUGCAGAAGCGGACAUAAGCACAUAAGACGAGAAGACCCUAUGGAGCUUUAGACACCAGGCAGAUCACGUCAAACAACCUUGGAUUAACAAGUAAAAACGCAGUGACCCCUAACCCAUAUGUCUUUGGUUGGGGCGACCGCGGGGGAAAAUUAAGCCCCCAUGUGGACUGGGGGCACUGCCCUCACAGCCAAGAGCUACAACUCUAAGCACCAGAAUAUCUGACCAAAAAUGAUCCGGCAAACGCCGAUCAACGGACCGAGUUACCCUAGGGAUAA
Molecule: ribosomal RNA, 319 nt
Filed under: Oncorhynchus kisutch (coho salmon)
Lineage: Eukaryota; Metazoa; Chordata; Actinopteri; Salmoniformes; Salmonidae
Description: partial 16S ribosomal RNA
Rfam family: Bacterial large subunit ribosomal RNA
Source: RNAcentral